CCAAACUUGGUCAUUUAGAGGAAGUAAAAGUCGUAACAAGGUUUCCGUAGGUGAACCUGCGGAAGGAUCAUUAUUGAACAAAAUUAAAUAAGGCUGCUGCUGGUUCUUUGGAGCAAUGUGCACGUCUUGUUUUAUUUUAUAUGCUUCUCCUGUGCACUACUGGUAGAGACAUUUCUGAGGCAAUGCACCGUUUCGAAGGCACAUCUUCGGUUGAAAGAAAUUAGCAUCAUUUUGACUUCAAAGUGCUGCUUUUCUUUGACUUAUUGCUUUAGAUGGCUCUACUGUAUUCAUUUAUCACACACCAUAUGAAUGGAUCAGAAUGUUGAACAAAAUUAGACCUUGUGUCUUUUUAAAUUACAUAUAACUUUCAACAACGGAUCUCUUGGCUCUUGCAUCGAUGAAGAACGCAGC
Molecule: unclassified non-coding RNA, 411 nt
Filed under: uncultured fungus
Lineage: Eukaryota; Fungi
Description: partial contains small subunit ribosomal RNA, internal transcribed spacer 1, and 5.8S ribosomal RNA
Rfam family: Eukaryotic small subunit ribosomal RNA (bases 1-73)
Source: RNAcentral